This is a long non-coding RNA of Hippocampus comes (tiger tail seahorse), 1011 nucleotides long. RefSeq lists it as uncharacterized. The record is from RefSeq and is a predicted model, not a curated record. The transcript is spliced from 2 exons. Lineage: Eukaryota; Metazoa; Chordata; Actinopteri; Syngnathiformes; Syngnathidae.
ACUGCGGCCAUUUGGGGAAAAAUGCUCACAUUUUCUCCAAAUUCCUGAUGACCACCCUCCCCCUGCUCACUCGCAGUACCUACGAGUACUCGGAUGUCAACUAAUGCGCAGAUUUGAUUCACAAGUAACACGUAUAGUUCUACUAGUGUGCAGAAUUGUCACAGAGUAGUGGAAGACAGUCAUGGGAAUGACUGUACAUUAUUAUUGGAAGCCAGUCAUUCAACGAGUGUGCUAAAUAGUUUUGCUCGUGAAGUCAAAAGCGCGCACUUGUGGCUUGCCAUUAACUCGCUCUGACCUUGCCAUGUGACUCCUCGCAUUGGAAUCAGAUCACUGGAAUUCUCCGAAGUCUUUCGGCGAACGAGGGGUUAAGGAGAAAACCGCGGUGUCCGCUUACAUGAGGCAAGGUCAAGAUAUUCGACUCGGCGGCGGUAGGAAAGUAUACGGGACUGGAGAGGGAGUUUGCAAGUAUCGCUGAAUUUUACUUUGAGACCAAGUCAGUUGUUCCUUUGUCUGUGCCAGCGGAAAAAAAAAAAAAUCCAAUCACGUGUCCCCGGAAUCUCACAUUACUUGAAUUUCUUUGCCUCAGCGACCCAGUUUCACACCAGAGCUGCCGAAUGCGGCCCAACUCAAACGACGUCUCAAACAAACCUCGUGGUUGCUUUGGGGUUCGGUUGUUUGAGUUCCUGGUUUGUCCUUGACAGUUCGUCCAGUCGGCGUCUUUGAUGCUCACAUUAGGUCAAGAUGAAGCCAAUUGAAGCCAGAUGGCUCUGAAGCGCUGGCAUCAUCACUUUUCGGACCCCUUUUGUUUUCACUGCUACCCACUUCUUUCACUCACAGGCUCCAGCGAAGCACUUUUAGUAGACAAACAGCACUGGUGAGACGUCACCAAGUGCAAAUACUCUUACCGCAAUAUGAUUUAUUAUUAUUUUUUUACUCCUCUUUAUUUCUCCGCUCCUUACUUAGUCCAAGCAGACUCAUGAUUUUUUUUUCCAACCUCCGAAACAACACACA